UUACUUGAGCGGAGAUUUCACUCAACCAACACGCAGGGGGAGAGGGCAGAACAGAGCGCCAGAGAGCGACAGAGAGCGAGGGAUAUGAUGAGAGACUGCGGCCAUAAGAAAUGUCAAACAAAAUAGAGAGACUGCAGCGCAGAGCAGAGCAGAGCAGAGCAGAAAGUGUAGUUUGUGUUGUUUUUACUUAACUUCAUUCCACACAAUUUCCCGUUGCAUUACAGCGAACGACUGAGAGACGAGCGAGCGGAGGGGGACAGGCAGCAGGUAAGGGAACAGAUGGAAAACGAACCAAAAUAUACGUACAUACAUACAUGCACGAGUACGUACGAGCCUGUAUGCCCAUUGAAAUAUCCAACUGAAUGAAUUCUCCUCUUACAUGCAAACAACCUUUCCUUUGCUCGGAAAGGGGAAGAAGGAGACGGAGAAGGGAUCAGCUUCGAGCAGGUGAAGAAACACGUGGGAAACGAAACAAAACUAAACAGUACAGCCGAGAGAGAGAGAGAGAGGCAGGUGGAUAUUGCGACUCCACGUGUACCCCUCAUUGAUUUAUAAGUUAUUAUUGUUGAUGAUCGGCACUUUAAAAUCCGACUCUUCUCUUUUGCUAUGUCUCGAUCGUCGGAUCCUCCGUUAAUUCUUAUCUCCAAACGAAUGUCUAGCUGUUGUGGCCCUCAUACCAAUCACACUCCUUUUUACAGUGCAGAGUACGAGGUAUCCAGCCGCUGCCAGAGCUCUCAGCAGACUGAUUCCGCCAAAAAAAAAAACACAACGCAAGACAACAAAAAAUUACUCAUCCAGGUUUAACAAAGCCGCAGAGCAG
Molecule: long non-coding RNA, 820 nt
Organism: Drosophila pseudoobscura
Lineage: Eukaryota; Metazoa; Arthropoda; Insecta; Diptera; Drosophilidae
Exons: 2
Source: RefSeq, a predicted model, not a curated record